UACGUAGGGUGCGAGCGUUGUCCGGAAUUAUUGGGCGUAAAGAGCUUGUAGGCGGUUUGUUGCGUCUGCUGUGAAAAUCCGGGGCUCAACCCCGGACUUGCAGUGGGUACGGGCAGACUAGAGUGUGGUAGGGGAGACUGGAAUUCCUGGUGUAGCGGUGAAAUGCGCAGAUAUCAGGAGGAACACCGAUGGCGAAGGCAGGUCUCUGGGCUACUACUGACGCUGAGAAGCGAAAGCAUGGGGAGCGAACAGG
Molecule: ribosomal RNA, 253 nt
Filed under: uncultured bacterium
Lineage: Bacteria
Description: partial 16S ribosomal RNA
Rfam family: Bacterial small subunit ribosomal RNA
Source: RNAcentral